Molecule: long non-coding RNA, 590 nt
Organism: Coffea arabica (coffee)
Lineage: Eukaryota; Viridiplantae; Streptophyta; Magnoliopsida; Gentianales; Rubiaceae
Source: RefSeq, a predicted model, not a curated record
CUUUUCCCGAAUCAUCCAUAUGGUUUUGAUAGUGGUGGCGAUCCUAAAGUGAUUCCCAAACUCAGUUUUGAGGAGUUCAAGGAAAAAGUGGUAAUUAGGGACUUGUGGAGCUUUGCCAGUGGCCUAGAAGUACAGAGACGAUAAAUUUGUUAAAGUGGUUAAGAUAAUUUUCUGAGUUGCUUUUGGCCCAUAUGGUUUCUGCAUUAGUUGAUGGCUGUAGUUUCAGUGAAUCACUGAGAAAUGGGCAUGCUACGAUGUUGGAUCACUGGGCUUUGUCCUUGGGAAUGUUUUGUACGGGAGUUGCUAACUUUACAUAUUUGAUGGAUUUUGGUGGCCGAUGGUAUGUCAUCUUAUGGUAUAUGGAAUUAUUGUCCUGUUUAUUUGUUUGGUUGAUCGUUUUUGUCUGCAUUGAUGGACGUGAUUUGCCAGCCUCUUAUGCGUAGCUUACAGCUGAAACCUGUUUUCCUUUGAGUGCAUUCAAUGAAUUUGAUUAUUUGAAUGCUUUACCCCUUUGGUGGAGAACUGGUUAAAUAUUAACCUUUCACAUAAAGUGAGAAAUAUUGAUCUUCCUCAGCUAAAGUAGGUUCUAC